CAAAAACAAAAAUAAAUGCCGAACUCUCGCCGUGAAGGAGCCACGAGAGAAGCCUUAAUGGGCUUCCAUCAGCUGCCCUGUCCGACGGCAAGGGAACAUCCCUUUAUGAAAAUGUUGUUCAGCAAGGUGGCGAUUCAUCCGAUGAACGGCGUUGGCGAAAUCUUCAAAGUAUUUUCUCUCCGGCAAUCAAAUUCAGCACGAAGCACUCUGAGAUUGCCAUCGCUGCCUAACCUAACCAUGAGGGAACCAAGAGAGGCACCAAGAAUGCUAACAUUGAUGGGCCACUGAUGCUUAUCGUCCUCGUGAAUAGAGAUUUUAAACCCAAGAGCACCGCCAAUAGGACUUGUAUAUUCAGGUGAAUUGAUCAGAACAGUUUCAUGGCAUCAUAAAAUGUAAAAACGAUCAACACUAGGUAAACCCACAACUUGAUUGGAAGAAUUAUUGGAGUCAAGAAACAUUGUAACUAGUGAAUAAUCAUCCAUGAAAGGUAACUAAAUCCUAGAGAAGUUAACAAUCAUUUCCAAUUAUAUGUGCAAUACUAUCUCCCAGUUAUGCCAGUAAUGCUGACAAAGUUAGCAGAGUGUGAACCCUGUGCUUCUGAAGCGGAGUCAAAAUUGAACCCUGUCUCGUUUAAUAUAUAUGCAGGUUGCCUUGGAAUAGGAAGAUUGGCAGUCUCACUACUAAGCAUAGACACUACAUUGGCCAUAGUUGGCCGCUCUUUCACUAAUUCUUGCACCAAAGUAGUCCUAUGUGUAUACAUCGCAAAUAUCCUCAUAAUCAGAACCUGAUAAUAUAUUUCUGAAUCUAUGAAGGACACAAAGUUAUCCUCAUUCCAUA
Prosopis cineraria is the source of this 837-nucleotide long non-coding RNA. RefSeq lists it as uncharacterized. Lineage: Eukaryota; Viridiplantae; Streptophyta; Magnoliopsida; Fabales; Fabaceae. The record is from RefSeq and is a predicted model, not a curated record. The transcript is spliced from 2 exons.